GGGUGGUAUCCAAUCUUUGCUAAA
This 24-nucleotide non-coding RNA is filed under the name Arabidopsis thaliana (thale cress). Lineage: Eukaryota; Viridiplantae; Streptophyta; Magnoliopsida; Brassicales; Brassicaceae. The record is from RNAcentral.